GCAAUACUGCAGGUGGCGAGUGGCGCACGGGUGCGUAACGCGUUACAACUACUAUAACUCGGGGAACAACCCGAGAAAUCGGGGCUAAUACCGAUAACAUCAUGAAGUGGCAUCACUUUAUGAUCAAACCUCAGGUGGUUAUAGAUGGGCAUGCGUGACAUUAGCUAGUUGGUCGAGGUAACGGUCACCAAGGCUACGAUGUCUAGGGGGGUCUUGAGAGGAUGAUCCCCCAAACUGGUACUGAGACACGGACCAGAUCCUACGGGAGGCAGCAGUCAAGGAACUAUUGGACCAAUGGGCGCAAGCCUGAUCCAGCAUGCCCGCGUGCAGGAUGANGGUGUAUGCAUCGUAAACUGCUUUAUACAAGAAUAAAUCCUUCACGUGUGCAAAGGGAUUCGGCACACUUGGUACCUGGUCACAGCGAAUUAAACGCCAUCCGGGCUUAAACUUUCCGGUGGCCAAGCCAAGCCCGGCGGGUCAAAUCACCGGAAAGGGAUUGGCCAAUCGCGGUUAUCCCCNGGAUUCAACUCUUCGGGGUCCACAAGGGGCUCGCCCUCAAACGGCGCGCGCUUAUACGCAAGNUUCCCANCAUGCGGGNUG
Molecule: ribosomal RNA, 600 nt
Filed under: uncultured bacterium
Lineage: Bacteria
Description: bacterial SSU rRNA
Rfam family: Bacterial small subunit ribosomal RNA (bases 1-459)
Source: RNAcentral